UUGCUUCAACAGCAUAUAUACAAAAACUGGAAUGAUGCAGAGACCCAGGUCAAGGCCUCUGUGCAAGAGUAAUAUGUAAAAUUGUGAAGUGUUCUCUCCUUUA
RNAcentral lists this small nuclear RNA (103 nucleotides) under Sus scrofa (pig). Lineage: Eukaryota; Metazoa; Chordata; Mammalia; Artiodactyla; Suidae. The record is from RNAcentral.